GCCGGUGUAGCUCAGCAGGUAGAGCAGCGCAUUCGUAAUGCGAAGGUCGCAGGUUCGACUCCUGUCUCCGGCACCA
RNAcentral lists this transfer RNA (76 nucleotides) under Stutzerimonas kunmingensis. Its description in RNAcentral is "tRNA-Thr". It matches the Rfam family "tRNA". From Rfam's summary of the family: Transfer RNA (tRNA) molecules are approximately 80 nucleotides in length. Their secondary structure includes four short double-helical elements and three loops (D, anti-codon, and T loops). Further hydrogen bonds mediate the characteristic L-shaped molecular structure. tRNAs have two regions of fundamental functional importance: the anti-codon, which is responsible for specific mRNA codon recognition, and the 3' end, to which the tRNAs corresponding amino acid is attached (by aminoacyl-tRNA synthetases). tRNAs cope with the degeneracy of the genetic code in two manners: having more than one tRNA (with a specific anti-codon) for a particular amino acid; and 'wobble' base-pairing, i.e. permitting non-standard base-pairing at the 3rd anti-codon position. RNAcentral also lists the same sequence under 2 other names. Lineage: Bacteria; Pseudomonadati; Pseudomonadota; Gammaproteobacteria; Pseudomonadales; Pseudomonadaceae. The record is from RNAcentral.